RNAcentral lists this ribosomal RNA (440 nucleotides) under uncultured bacterium. RNAcentral describes it as "partial 16S ribosomal RNA". It matches the Rfam family "Bacterial small subunit ribosomal RNA", at positions 338 to 795 of the family's 1533-position model. The record is from RNAcentral.
CCUACGUGAGGCAGCAGUGGGGAAUAUUGCACAAUGGGGGAAACCCUGAUGCAGCGACGCCGCGUGAGUGAAGAAGUAAUUCGUUAUGUAAAGCUCUAUCAGCAGGGAAGAAAAUGACGGUACCUGAGUAAGAAGCCCCGGCUAACUACGUGCCAGCAGCCGCGGUAAUACGUAGGGGGCAAGCGUUAUCCGGAUUUACGGGGUGUAAAGGGAGCGUAGACGGCAGUGCAAGUCUGGAGUGAAAGGCGGGGGCUCAACCCCCGGACUGCUCUGGAAACUGUACGGCUGGAGUGCAGGAGAGGGAAGUGGAAUUCCUAGUGUAGCGGUGAAAUGCGUAGAUAUUAGGAGGAACACCAGUGGCGAAGGCGGCUUACUGGACUGUAACUGACGUUGAGGCUCGAAAGCGUGGGGAGCAAACAGGAUUAGAUACCCCAGUAGUC